GGAGGAUUAGCUCAGCUGGGAGAGCACCUGCCUUACAAGCAGGGGGUCGGCGGUCGAUCCGUCAUCCUCCACCA
This 74-nucleotide transfer RNA is filed under the name Priestia megaterium. RNAcentral's name for it is "Bacillus megaterium tRNA-Val". It matches the Rfam family "tRNA". From Rfam's summary of the family: Transfer RNA (tRNA) molecules are approximately 80 nucleotides in length. The record is from RNAcentral. Lineage: Bacteria; Bacillati; Bacillota; Bacilli; Caryophanales; Bacillaceae.